Molecule: unclassified non-coding RNA, 19 nt
Filed under: Mus musculus (house mouse)
Lineage: Eukaryota; Metazoa; Chordata; Mammalia; Rodentia; Muridae
Description: oocyte_clustered_small_RNA6702
Source: RNAcentral
CAGGAGGCAGCAGCAUGCA